UUACGACUACAUAUCAGGCAUAUCAAUAAGCGGAGGAAAAGAAACUAACUAGGAUUCCCUCAGUAACGGCGAGUGAAGCGGGAAGAGCUCAAAUUUGAAAUCUUCAAGGUUUUACCUUGACGAAUUGUAGUUUAAAGAAGUGUUUUCUGUUGGAGUUUCGGUAAAAGUUCUUUGGAAUAGGACAUCAUAGAGGGUGAGAAUCCCGUAUUUGGCCGUUACUUUCCAGCUGUGUGAUACACUUUCAAAGAGUCGGAUUGUUUGGGAAUGCAGUCCAAGAUGGGUGGUAAAUUUCAUCUAAAGCUAAAUAUUGGCGAGAGACCGAUAGCGAACAAGUACCGUGAGGGAAAGAUGAAAAGAACUUUGAAAAGAGAGUUAAACAGUACGUGAAAUUGUCAAAAGGGAAGCGUUUGACACCAGUGUUGUUUUCUCGAAAAUCAAUUAAAAAGUAUGGGAUUUUGUAUUGUUAAGACCUUAUCAGCUUACGGUACUUUUUUCUUAUUCUUUUUAAUGCACUUUUCGUUUAACAAGUCAACAUCAAUUUCUUUUGUUGUAAAAGAGUCAUUGGAAGGUGGCUUUCACUUCGGUGAAAGUGUUUAUAGCCUUUGGCUUCUACAAUCGGAGAGACUGAGGUCUGCAGCGUAGAUCCUUCUUGGAUUAGAUUCAUUUGUGCUAAGUUAUAGCUUUUCAUAGACAACAUGUUGACUAUAGUUUAGUCUUGUAGCUUACUCGCUUAUGUAAUUUUACCUACGCUUAGGAUGUUGAAUCUGUGCGAGACUAC
This 778-nucleotide ribosomal RNA is filed under the name uncultured Neocallimastigales. Its description in RNAcentral is "partial large subunit ribosomal RNA". It matches the Rfam family "Eukaryotic large subunit ribosomal RNA", at positions 24 to 644 of the family's 3401-position model. Lineage: Eukaryota; Fungi; Neocallimastigomycota; Neocallimastigomycetes; Neocallimastigales. The record is from RNAcentral.